This 392-nucleotide ribosomal RNA is filed under the name uncultured bacterium. RNAcentral's name for it is "bacterial SSU rRNA". It matches the Rfam family "Bacterial small subunit ribosomal RNA", at positions 384 to 774 of the family's 1533-position model. The record is from RNAcentral.
UGAACCAGCCAUGCCGCGUGAAGGAUGAAAGUCCUCUGGAUUGUAAACUUCUUUUAUCUGGGAUGAAAACGGGAUUUUUAUCGCAAUUGACGGUACCAGAGGAAUAAGCACCGGCUAACUCCGUGCCAGCAGCCGCGGUAAUACGGAGGGUGCGAGCGUUAUCCGGAUUUACUGGGUUUCACGGGUGCGCAGGCGGGAUGUUAAGUCGGCGGUGAAAUUUUGGAGCUCAACGGUAAAAGUGCCGUCGAUACUGGCCUUCGUGAGGGUGGAUGAANUAGGCGGGAUAUGUGGUGUAGCGGUGAAAGGCUUAGAUAUCACGAGGAACUCCGAGUGCGCAGGCAGCUUACUAAGCCACAACUGACGCUCAUGCACGAAGGCGUGGGGAUCAAACA